Molecule: ribosomal RNA, 271 nt
Filed under: uncultured prokaryote
Description: partial 16S ribosomal RNA
Rfam family: Bacterial small subunit ribosomal RNA
Source: RNAcentral
GACGAACCGUCCAAACGUUAUUCGGAAUCACUGGGCUUAAAGGGUGCGUAGGCGGCUCUGAAAGUUGGGUGUGAAAGCCCUCGGCUCAACCGAGGAAUUGCUCCCAAAACUACAGAGCUAGAGGAAGACAGAGGUGAGCGGAACUUAGGGUGGAGCGGUGAUAUGCGUUGAGAUCCUAAGGAACACCAGUAGCGAAAGCGGCUCACUGGGUCUUUCUGACGCUGAGUGCACGAAAGCUAGGGGAGCAAACAGGAUUAGAUACCCUGGUAGU